RNAcentral lists this ribosomal RNA (406 nucleotides) under uncultured bacterium. RNAcentral describes it as "bacterial SSU rRNA". It matches the Rfam family "Bacterial small subunit ribosomal RNA", at positions 28 to 430 of the family's 1533-position model. The record is from RNAcentral.
GAUGAACGCUGGCGGCGUGCUUAACACAUGCAAGUCGAACGAGGUCCAUGGAGCUUGCUCCGGAAGACCUAGUGGCGAACGGGUGCGUAACACGUGAGAAACCUGCCCCGAUCUCUGGGAUAACAGUUGGAAACGACUGCUAAUACCGGAUGCCGUCACACCGCCUCAUGGCGGAGUGCCGAAAGAUUUAUCGGAUCGGGAGGGUCUCGCGGCCUAUCAGCUAGUUGGAGAGGUAACGGCUCACCAAGGCAUCGACGGGUAGCUGGUCUGAGAGGAUGAUCAGCCACACUGGGACUGAGACACGGCCCAGACUCCUACGGGAGGCAGCAGUGGGGAAUCUUGCACAAUGGGCGAAAGCCUGAUGCAGCAACGCCGCGUGCGGGAAGAAGGCCCUAGGGUUGUAAAC